RNAcentral lists this ribosomal RNA (278 nucleotides) under uncultured bacterium. RNAcentral's name for it is "partial 16S ribosomal RNA". It matches the Rfam family "Bacterial small subunit ribosomal RNA", at positions 506 to 784 of the family's 1533-position model. The record is from RNAcentral.
UGCCAGCCGCCGCGGUAAUACUGAGGGUGCAAGCGUUAAUCGGAAUCACUGGGCGUAAAGCGCUCGUAGGUGGCUUUGUAAGUCAGAAGUGAAAGGCGUUGGCUCAACCAAUGUAAGCUUUUGAAACUGUUGAACUUGAGUGCAGGAGAGGUAAGUGGAAUUCCUAGUGUAGAGGUGAAAUUCGUAGAUAUUAGGAGGAACACCAGUGGCGAAGGCGACUUACUGGACUGUAACUGACACUGAGGCACGAAAGCGUGGGGAGCGAGCAGGAUUAGAUA